Molecule: ribosomal RNA, 255 nt
Filed under: uncultured bacterium
Lineage: Bacteria
Description: partial 16S ribosomal RNA
Rfam family: Bacterial small subunit ribosomal RNA
Source: RNAcentral
AAACCGUGGGUAAUACCGGAUACUCCGCAGCCCCCGCAUGGGGGAGGCGGGAAAGCGUACACGGCGGGGGAUGGGCCCGCGGCCUGUUAGCUCGUUGGCGGGGUAACGGCCCACCAAGGCGAUUAUGGGUAGCCGGGUUGAGAGACCGACCGGCCAGAUUGGGACUGAGACACGGCCCAGACUCCUACGGGAGGCAGCAGUGGGGAAUCUUGCACAAUGAAGAGAAGCCUGAUGCAGCGACGCCGCGUGCGGGAG